Molecule: ribosomal RNA, 464 nt
Filed under: Vreelandella stevensii
Lineage: Bacteria; Pseudomonadati; Pseudomonadota; Gammaproteobacteria; Oceanospirillales; Halomonadaceae
Description: partial 16S ribosomal RNA
Rfam family: Bacterial small subunit ribosomal RNA
Source: RNAcentral
CUACGGAGGGCUGCAGUGGGGAAUAUUGGACAAUGGGCGAAAGCCUGAUCCAGCCAUGCCGCGUGUGUGAAGAAGGCCUUCGGGUUGUAAAGCACUUUCAGUGGGGAAGAAAGCCUUGGGGCUAAUACCCUCGAGGAAGGACAUCACCCACAGAAGAAGCACCGGCUAACUCCGUGCCAGCAGCCGCGGUAAUACGGAGGGUGCGAGCGUUAAUCGGAAUUACUGGGCGUAAAGCGCGCGUAGGCGGUCUGAUAAGCCGGUUGUGAAAGCCCCGGGCUCAACCUGGGAACGGCAUCCGGAACUGUCAGGCUAGAGUGCAGGAGAGGAAGGUAGAAUUCCCGGUGUAGCGGUGAAAUGCGUAGAGAUCGGGAGGAAUACCAGUGGCGAAGGCGGCCUUCUGGACUGACACUGACGCUGAGGUGCGAAAGCGUGGGUAGCAAACAGGAUUAGAUACCCGAGUAGUC